This 233-nucleotide unclassified non-coding RNA is filed under the name plant metagenome. RNAcentral's name for it is "partial contains small subunit ribosomal RNA, internal transcribed spacer 1, and 5.8S ribosomal RNA". The record is from RNAcentral.
UCUCCGUUGGUGAACCAGGGGAGGGAUCAUUACCGAGUUGUUCUACUCCCAAACCCCUGUUAACUAAGAGCUUUACUGUUGCUUCGGCGGGUUAACGCCCGGGAAGGCCCAAAAGGCCGCCGGAACCAGGCGCAAGCCGGGGGACCCAAGCUCUUGUAUCUCUUACUUUGAAUGUCUGAGUGGAAUGAUAAACAAAUGACUCAAAACUUUCAACAACGGAUCUCUUGGUUCUG